RNAcentral lists this ribosomal RNA (274 nucleotides) under uncultured bacterium. RNAcentral's name for it is "partial 16S ribosomal RNA". It matches the Rfam family "Bacterial small subunit ribosomal RNA", at positions 523 to 796 of the family's 1533-position model. The record is from RNAcentral.
AUACGGAGGGUGCGAGCGUUAAUCGGAAUUACUGGGCGUAAAGGGUGCGUAGGCGGCUUGAUAAGUCGGAUGUGAAAGCCCCGGGCUUAACCUGGGAAUUGCAUUCGAUACUGUCAGGCUAGAGUAUGUCAGAGGUUGGCGGAAUUCCUGGUGUAGCGGUGAAAUGCGUAGAUAUUGGAAAGAACACCAGUGGCGAAGGCGGCUCACUGGCUCGAUACUGACGCUGAGGUACGAAAGCGUGGGGAGCAAACAGGAUUAGAUACCCCAGUAGUCC